GUCUACGGCCAUGCCACCCUGAACAAGCCUGAUCCCAUCUGAUCUUGGAGCUAAGCAGGGUCGGACCUGGUUAGUACUUGGAUGGGAGACCACCUAGGAAGAUCAGGUGCUGUAGGCA
This 118-nucleotide ribosomal RNA is filed under the name Pteropus alecto (black flying fox). Lineage: Eukaryota; Metazoa; Chordata; Mammalia; Chiroptera; Pteropodidae. RNAcentral also lists the same sequence under 1 other name. The record is from RNAcentral.